Molecule: ribosomal RNA, 265 nt
Filed under: uncultured bacterium
Lineage: Bacteria
Description: partial 16S ribosomal RNA
Rfam family: Bacterial small subunit ribosomal RNA
Source: RNAcentral
CUUAGUGGCGGACGGGUGAGUAACGCGUGGGUAACCUGCCUUAUACAGGGGGAUAACACUUAGAAAUAGGUGCUAAUACCGCAUAAGCGCACGGGGCUGGCAUGGCCCAGUGUGAAAAACUCCGGUGGUAUAAGAUGGACCCGCGUCUGAUUAGCUUGUUGGCGGGGUAACGGCCCACCAAGGCGACGAUCAGUAGCCGGCCUGGAGAGGGUGGACGGCCACAUUGGGACUGAGACACGGCCCAAACUCCUACGGAAGGCAGCAG